Molecule: long non-coding RNA, 1501 nt
Organism: Prionailurus viverrinus (fishing cat)
Lineage: Eukaryota; Metazoa; Chordata; Mammalia; Carnivora; Felidae
Exons: 5
Source: RefSeq, a predicted model, not a curated record
UAUCACUUUUCGGUGCCUCCGAAAUUUUAACGCCCACGGCACGCUGCUGCUAAUCGGAGGGGGCCACAACUGCGCACCUACCGAGGCCUCGGGGAGGCAGGCCCUUGGGCGCCAGGCCCUCCGGGUGGGGAGGUCAGCAGCCAAAGGCUCACUGCGUGACCUCUCCGUUGGGGAGGGGUUUGUACUUCCUCCUGAGGGCAAAGGGGGCCUGUGUCCGGUUUUUCAUUUGCUGAGCGGCAGCAAGGCUCUGUCUAAACACUCGCUCUCACUGGUACACCAGGAGUGUGCGCCCUUUCCAAGAAGCCGCCCAAGUCCCGGAGGUCCGGGGCGGCCCAGGAACCCGGUUUUGCCCGGCCCGCUGGCUGAGCGCUCUCCGGGCCUCAAGAAACGCGACACUUUUAUAAGGGCUUGGACGAGAUUUCUCUUGGAGGAGCCUCUCAGUCGGAUGCAGGUCUGGGCUAAUGUCACACGUGUCGCAGGAGCUGGGGAGCCGUCCCUGGGCCACACUGGCCGCGGUCAGCUAGCCUUUGUUUCCCCUACCCGACCCCCGCCCAGCGCUCACGUGGCCGGACAACAAAAUAUCAAAAUCACCUUUCUAAGGACCCAGCCUUGGUGAACAUAUUUGCCUAAUCAAAUGUCGAGUACACGCUCAGAAAAGAUUUUUGGACUUAUGAAAUUAUUUCUAUAAAAAUUCUUACCAAGAGACUCCUGGUGUCCUGUAUCCUGUCUGUCACACAGUCUUCAACCUCCCUACCAAGGAAAAAGAAUUUUUUAAGCUGGGAGAUGCCUGUGAGGCAGCAUUUCUGAUUCAUACAUCAGAACCAGAGGUGCAACUGGCAAAACUCCAGCCGAAGAAAGCGCGCGCCCCGCUCUGCGCAUGCCUGGACGAAUUUGUGCGCUGUGUGAUUCCCGGUCCGCUCCCACCCGGGCCUCAUGGAACCCAUCGUGGGUCUGCUUGACGGUCACCCCACAUCCGAGUGAUUCAAAACGAGAACAGUAACCCGUCUCAAGAAGAGACUUCAAACUUCCCUUUUGAGUCAACUGGAAAUUUGGACAAAACUUCUGUUGACAUUAUAUCUGCCCCUUUCACUUUCGGUGCACGGAGACGCACUGACAUUUCUGAAAGGAUGUGGCUCUUCCUAGUGUGGCAAACGAUACAUUCAUGCCUAUACACUUACAGGCAUGGUCUUUGUUCCUUGUCAUGAUCAAAUGCUCUGUUUUCUUGAUUCUCCAGCCAAAAGUAAUCCCCUUUUCUUUUCAACUCUUUCAGCACUCCAUUUUUUCUUGAUUCAGUUAACAAACACGCAGGCAUUGUUAUUCGACCAGGCACUGUUAUUUGUACCGGGUGGUGGUGGUCAGCAGGACCAAUUUAUUGGUCAAUAAAUUACGAUGAAAACCCCUGACUUCGUGGAGCUUGUAUUAUAUACAGGUAGACAGGCCCCAAACACAAAAAGCUAACGUGUAUAGUAUGUUACAGGUUGACAGGUCAUGGAGAAUAAAA